UGGGGAAUUUUGGACAAUGGGCGAAAGCCUGAUCCAGCAAUGCCGCGUGCAGGAUGAAGGCCUUCGGGUUGUAAACUGCUUUUGUACGGAACGAAAAGCUUCUCCUAAUACGAGAGGCCCAUGACGGUACCGUAAGAAUAAGCACCGGCUAACUACGUGCCAGCAGCCGCGGUAAUACGUAGGGUGCGAGCGUUAAUCGGAAUUACUGGGCGUAAAGCGUGCGCAGGCGGUUAUGUAAGACAGAUGUGAAAUCCCCGGGCUCAACCUGGGAACUGCAUUUGUGACUGCAUGGCUAGAGUACGGUAGAGGGGGAUGGAAUUCCGCGUGUAGCAGUGAAAUGCGUAGAUAUGCGGAGGAACACCGAUGGCGAAGGCAAUCCCCUGGACCUGUACUGACGCUCAUGCACGAAAGCGUGGGGAGCAAACAGAUUAGAUACCCUGGUAGUCCACGCCCUAAACGAUGUCAACUGGUUGUUGGGAAUUAGUUUUCUCAGUAAACGAAGCUAACGCGUGAAGUUGACCGCCUGGGGAGUACGGCCGCAAGGUUGAAACUC
This 553-nucleotide ribosomal RNA is filed under the name uncultured bacterium. Its description in RNAcentral is "partial 16S ribosomal RNA". It matches the Rfam family "Bacterial small subunit ribosomal RNA", at positions 355 to 902 of the family's 1533-position model. The record is from RNAcentral.